This 253-nucleotide ribosomal RNA is filed under the name uncultured bacterium. RNAcentral's name for it is "partial 16S ribosomal RNA". It matches the Rfam family "Bacterial small subunit ribosomal RNA", at positions 524 to 776 of the family's 1533-position model. The record is from RNAcentral.
UACGGGAGGGGCAAGCGUUACCCACCAUGACUGGGCGUAAAGAGUCCGUAGACUGUAAAGUAAGUUACUUGUUAAACUUUAAAGCCUAACUUUAAAUUAGCUUGUAAUACUGCUUUACUUUGAGUUUUAUACAGAAGAGUAGAAUUUUAUAUGAAAGGGUAAAAUCUGAAAAUAAAUAAAGGAAUAUCAUUAGCGAAGGCGACUCUUUGGUAAAAACUGACGUUGAGGGACGAAAGUGUAGGGAGCAAACAGG